CCCUUAGAUGUUCUGGGCUGCACGCGCGCUACACUGACGCACGCAACAGGUGCCUGCUCCGAGAGGACUGGGUAAUCAUUUGAGUGUACGUCGUGAUGGGGAUAGAAUAUUGUAAUUAUUACUCUUCAACGAGGAAUUCCUAGUAAGCGCCAGUCAGCAGCUUGCGCUGAUUACGUCCCUGCCCUUUGUACACACCGCCCGUCGCUCCUACCGAUGGGUGAUCCGGUGAAUGAUUCGGACUUCAGCGGCUCCCCUGGGGUGCGCCGGAGAAAGUUUUGUGAACCUUAUCACUUGGAGGAAGGAGAAGUCGUAACA
This 315-nucleotide ribosomal RNA is filed under the name uncultured eukaryote. Its description in RNAcentral is "partial 18S ribosomal RNA". It matches the Rfam family "Eukaryotic small subunit ribosomal RNA", at positions 1470 to 1796 of the family's 1831-position model. The record is from RNAcentral.